UUUGUUGCACAGUGGCAAUAUUGGAGCCAAUGAGGUUUAUCCAAGGCACAAUUAUUGUGAACUGAAAACUUUAAACCUGGAUUCUAACACACAUAUUAGUUUGUGUGUUUUUGAAGUUUGUAUAAAUAGAAUAAUAUA
Small nuclear RNA from Equus caballus (horse), 138 nucleotides. Its record names the gene U4. It matches the Rfam family "U4 spliceosomal RNA". Rfam says of the family: U4 small nuclear RNA (U4 snRNA) is a component of the major U2-dependent spliceosome. The structure of U4 snRNA from yeast and human has been reported. NCBI's taxonomy places the organism in Eukaryota, Metazoa, Chordata, Mammalia, Perissodactyla, Equidae. The record is from Ensembl.